Molecule: transfer RNA, 94 nt
Organism: Madurella mycetomatis
Lineage: Eukaryota; Fungi; Ascomycota; Sordariomycetes; Sordariales
Rfam family: tRNA
About the family: Transfer RNA (tRNA) molecules are approximately 80 nucleotides in length. Their secondary structure includes four short double-helical elements and three loops (D, anti-codon, and T loops).
Source: Rfam
AGUCCUGUGGUCUAGCGGUUAAGAUUUCGCUCUUAUACCCCUCACCAGGGUAAUGGGUAUGCGACGGUCGCGGGUUCAAUCCCCGCCAGGACUA